AUUGAACGCUGGCGGCAUGCUUUGCACAUGCAAGUCGAACGGUAACAGGGUGCUUGCACCGCUGACGAGUGGCGAACGGGUGAGUAAUGCGUCGGAACGUGCCGAGUAGUGGGGGAUAACGCAGCGAAAGUUGUGCUAAUACCGCAUACGUACUGAGGUAGAAAGUGGGGGACCUUCGGGCCUCACGCUAUUAGAGCGGCCGACGUCUGAUUAGCUAGUAGGUGAGGUAAAGGCUCACCUAGGCGACGAUCAGUAGCGGGUCUGAGAGGAUGAUCCGCCACACUGGGACUGAGAAACGGCCCAGACUCCUACGGGAGGCAGCAGUGGGGAAUUUUGGACAAUGGGCGAAAGCCUGAUCCAGCCAUGCCGCGUGUCUGAAGAAGGCCUUCGGGUUGUAAAGGACUUUUGUCAGGGAGGAAAUCCCUAGUGCUAAUAACACUGGGGGAUGACAGUACCUGAAGAAUAAGCACCGGCUAACUACGUGCCAGCAGCCGCCGUAA
RNAcentral lists this ribosomal RNA (500 nucleotides) under uncultured bacterium. Its description in RNAcentral is "partial 16S ribosomal RNA". It matches the Rfam family "Bacterial small subunit ribosomal RNA", at positions 30 to 523 of the family's 1533-position model. The record is from RNAcentral.